This 512-nucleotide long non-coding RNA is filed under the name Felis catus (domestic cat). RNAcentral's name for it is "lncRNA (ENSFCAG00000047993.1)". The record is from RNAcentral. Lineage: Eukaryota; Metazoa; Chordata; Mammalia; Carnivora; Felidae.
GCUUUGUCAUUAAUGGAUAAAAAGACUUUCUGAGCCAAACUCAGCCAGUGUUUCCUACUCACCAUCUAAUUGUUUCAGAAAGCGUGGUCUCGUCCUGGAGUUACAGCAGGAAUUCUGACCAUCCACUAUGACAGCCAGAGGCCACAAGGCAACCAGGGAGGAAGGCUCUCCUCUGCGACACGUGAAAAGUCCAGCUGAUGUCCAUUCUCCCCUGUGCAAGUCAUUAGCACACAGAGCCACCAAUGUCAAGUCCUUCCACUGACCACACACCAGAUCAUCAAGUAAAUCUUCUGCAAGGCCUGCUACAGCAACAAAGGAAGGGAGAAUUAUACUGGCAGGGUGAUGGCACAGCAUCCCAGAUGCUACAAACAGCGGGAGUAAAUGGAACACGACAUUUCUUCCCCAGCACUGGGCGGAGGAGGCUAUUAGUAAAUUGACUAAGAGCUCACACACGCCUGGAGCAGCAGCAGUGAGAUCUCCACUGCUGGGCCAACCUUUGGUUUUUAAAUACA